Sorex araneus (European shrew) is the source of this 207-nucleotide small nucleolar RNA. RefSeq annotates it as small nucleolar RNA U3. NCBI's taxonomy places the organism in Eukaryota, Metazoa, Chordata, Mammalia, Eulipotyphla, Soricidae. The record is from RefSeq and is a predicted model, not a curated record. The transcript has a single exon.
AAGACUUUGCUUUCAGGGGUCAUUUCUAGAUUUCAUUCCUAGAGAAGUUUCUCUGACCAUGUGGAGCACCAGGAACCAUGAGCAGGCGUCGGAGCCGCCUCUCCUAAGCGUGAAGCCGUCUCUAGGGUCGCUUUUGCAGCUGCCUUUUACCAUUGAUGACUGUUCUUCCUUUGGAAGAGUGAGAGGACAGGGUGGAAUCUGAGAGCU